GAUGAACGCUGGCGGCGUGCUUAACACAUGCAAGUCGAACGGAAAGGCCGAAGCUUGCUUCGGUACUCGAGUGGCGAACGGGUGAGUAACACGUGGGUGAUCUGCCCUGUACUUCGGGAUAAGCUUGGGAAACUGGGUCUAAUACCGGAUAUGACGAUCUCUUGGAUGGGGUUGUGGAAAGCUUUUGCGGUAUGGGAUGAGCUCGCGGCCUAUCAGCUUGUUGGUGGGGUAAUGGCCUACCAAGGCGUCGACGGGUAGCCGGCCUGAGAGGGUGUACGGCCACAUUGGGACUGAGAUACGGCCCAGACUCCUACGGGAGGCAGCAGUGGGGAAUAUUGCACAAUGGGCGCAAGCCUGAUGCAGCGACGCCGCGUGCGGGAUGACGGCCUUCGGGUUGUAAACCGCUUUCGCCUGUGACGAAGCGUGAGUGACGGUAAUGGGUAAAGAAGCACCGGCUAACUACGUG
RNAcentral lists this ribosomal RNA (466 nucleotides) under uncultured bacterium. RNAcentral's name for it is "partial 16S ribosomal RNA". It matches the Rfam family "Bacterial small subunit ribosomal RNA", at positions 28 to 507 of the family's 1533-position model. The record is from RNAcentral.